AUUGAACGCUGGCGGCAGGCCUAACACAUGCAAGUCGAGCGGUAGAGAGAAGCUUGCUUCUCUUGAGAGCGGCGGACGGGUGAGUAAUGCCUAGGAAUCUGCCUGGGAGUGGGGGAUAACGUUCGGAAACGGACGCUAAUACCGCAUACGUCCUACGGGAGAAAGCAGGGGACCUUCGGGCCUUGCGCUAUCAGAUGAGCCUAGGUCGGAUUAGCUAGUUGGUGGGGUAAUGGCUCAACAAGGCGACGAUCCGUAACUGGUCUGAGAGGAUGGUCAGUAACACUGGAACUGAGACACGGUCCAGACUCCUACGGGAGGCAGCAGUGGGGAAUAUUGGACAAUGGGCGAAUGCCUGGUCCAGCCAUGCCGCGUGUGUGAAGAAGGUCUUCGGAUUGUAAAGCACUUUUAGUUGGGAGGAAGGGCAGUAAAUUAAUCCUUUUCUGUUUUGACGUUACCGACAGAAUAAGCACCGGCUAACUCUGUGCCAGCCGCCGCCGUAA
RNAcentral lists this ribosomal RNA (500 nucleotides) under uncultured bacterium. Its description in RNAcentral is "partial 16S ribosomal RNA". It matches the Rfam family "Bacterial small subunit ribosomal RNA", at positions 30 to 523 of the family's 1533-position model. The record is from RNAcentral.